AGGAUGAACGCUAGCGGCGUGCUUAACACAUGCAAGUCGAACGAUGAAGCCGGAGCUUGCUCUGGUGGAUUAGUGGCGAACGGGUGAGUAACACGUGAGUAACCUGCCCUUGACUCUGGGAUAAGCGUUGGAAACGACGUCUAAUACCGGAUACGACGCGCGAAGGCAUCUUCUGCGCGUAGGAAAGAAUUUCGGUCAAGGAUGGACUCGCGGCCUAUCAGCUAGUUGGUGAGGUAACGGCCCACCAAGGCGACGACGGGUAGCCGGCCUGAGAGGGUGACCGGCCAACGACGUGGACUGAGACACGGCCAGACUCCGACGGGAGGCAGCAGUGGGAAUAGUGCACAAGUGGCGG
This 355-nucleotide ribosomal RNA is filed under the name uncultured soil bacterium. RNAcentral describes it as "bacterial SSU rRNA". It matches the Rfam family "Bacterial small subunit ribosomal RNA", at positions 26 to 378 of the family's 1533-position model. The record is from RNAcentral.